RNAcentral lists this long non-coding RNA (6146 nucleotides) under Sus scrofa (pig). RNAcentral describes it as "lncRNA (ENSSSCG00055026553.1)". Lineage: Eukaryota; Metazoa; Chordata; Mammalia; Artiodactyla; Suidae. The record is from RNAcentral.
UUUUUUUUUCUUCUUCUUAUCUCCUAAAUGUGACUAGAAAAAGAAAAAACAGAAACAUAUAUCUGUAAUGGAGAGAUUAUUCCUGAGAGAUUUCUUAGGUAGCUCUCUCCAAGAACUUUAAUAAAAAUUCUGCCUGACCCCUCAGCUUGUGAAUGUUUGGCUUUUAGAAUGUGGUUGGAUCUGCAAUGUGUGCAAAUGCCUAGAACUGAAAGAUGUUUCAAGGCAUUCUCUUUGUCCUAAGAUAAAGAAAUUAAAUGGCCUCUAAUGUAUGCUUUCCACUUAUAAAAAAACCUUGGGGUAAUUAUGAAUGAUCAGCCACUUGAUAGUAUUAUAACAAUAGACUCCAUGGAGUAAUAAAAUUAUUGUGGCUUUAGUGUCACUCAGAGCCAAAUACCAACUGAGCUCUGCCAUUUAAUAACCAUGUGAUUUUAAUGAUUUUGAGGCUCAAUGGUCUCAUCUCUGCAAAAGGAGUAGCAAAAAUACCUACUUGAUUUUUGUGACGAUUAAGCAAGAUAAAUGAGAACCAUCACAUUCUAUAAUUCAAGGGGCCACCAUUUAUAGAAUAUAUAAAAUAAGGAGUGCCUCUUGGCUUUGUGAAAUGUGGUAGGCUUGAGUAACAUGUGCAAAGCCCUUGCCUCACAGUUAAACACAAAGUAGAUACUCAGCAUUUGUAUUUUUUAGUACCACUGCAGUAACAAAAACAGUGUGGGCUUGACAUCAUUUGCACAUCAAGACUCUUGUUUAUUGAGCAUAGCAAUAAUAUUCUGUGUCUGUUUUGGAUUCCACAUUCCUAGGACAAUGCCUGGUUCAUAGAAGUAACUCAAUAUCAAUAUAUUGACUACAUGAAGAUAACAUUAAUCUUACAUGAUUGGUAAAUCAGAAGACCUUUGAAAACUUUAUCCUUCAGUAAGAAUUCCCGGUAAGUUUAGGUUUGAGGACAAGUGUGAUCUGGAACACAGCUCUUCUGUUCCCUCAAGUGAAAUAAGCUUUGGUGAAUUUUUACAAUGAGGAUCUAUAAAGCUAUGGUAUACACAUAGCUUUUCAAACAUAAAGUAAUGCUAGUGAGUGGGUGAGUGGGUGGGUCUUCUGAAAAAAAGUGAGUGGGGUAUUUGCCAAAUAAAUAUGUGAUGUUGGUAUUAAGGCAUAGACAGAUUUAAAGAAUUGUCGCCAAACAUUCAAAAGAAGAAAUGAAAUCUAAUUUACGAAGUUAACAAGGUACCAAUUUUCCAUUUGGGGAGAAUCUAAACCAAUGAUAUUUUCUAAAACUGUCUACUAGGUACAUUAUGCUCCCUCUAAGCAACCAGCCCAGAAGACGACAUUCUUCCCUGGAGUUCCAUUUUCAUGUGAAUCUUGACUCUUCAACUCACAUUGUUACUUCUAUCCACUUUUUAAAUAUGAAGAAAAGACUGGCUUACAGAUUGGUCACUCACACUGUGAGAAAGCCUUUGAGCAUGAUGAGGAAACUGAGUUUCAGAGAAAUAAAUUGGCUUCCAUCAAUGUUACACAGUAGGAGGGGUAGCUGGUACUACAGCAUAUCCAGAUUUGUGCCCUGACAUAAAUAACCCUACUCAAUGUGGAGUUAAACCCAAAGUAAGGAACUACUUGUCUUCAAUAUCUAUAUAUCUCCUGGACACCUAAAUUUCUUUUAUUGGGCCAAGGGCCAUAUCAGUAUUAUCACUACUAUCAAAAUGCAUCAAAGUAACCUUGGAAAUGGUCUUCUACCAAUUUCUGUCUCUGUGUCCACCACAAUCCAUGUCCAAAACAAAGGGAUAUUUCUGAGUCAUAGUAUUCUAAUUCUUUCAUAAAUGUUUAGCAUUCUCCAAGUUACCAGUCAAUUCACUAGCCCUACAGAGAAGAAAGGGCAUGGCCCUAUGUGUUCAUUCUGUCCAUGUUGUCUUGGUCAGUUGCAGUCACAGAAACUCAGAGUCAGAAGGGACCUAAAAACUAAAGGUCAUGGACUCCAGCUCUAACUGGUUCCAUGAUCUCUAGAUUUGAGUCCCAAAUCCAAGCUUCUCUAUCCUCGAGCAAUGAAACUUGGACAGGUAAAUCUUUGUUAAGUUUCAAUUUCUACCUCUAUGAAAUUAAGACAGUAAGAGUUCUCAGCUCCUAGGGAUGUUGAAAGGAUUAACAAAUCAUAAGGUUGUUUAAAGGAGCUGGCCCUUUCUUACAUUUCAGAUUCAGUUUAAAUGCCAGCUCCUCUGAAAUUUCCUCCCUAAUAACCUUAUUUAAAUUGAUCUUUCUACUAUUCUUUUAAACCCAUCAUCUUUUUUUUCUCCUUUAUGACAUAAUCUGUGAUAAAUGAUUUUGUUCAUUUUCUCACUAGUUUACCUUCUGUCUCCCCGACAAAUCCACCAGCUUUGUGAAGGCUGGGUCUGUCUGUAUCCCCAAAGGUAAGCACAAGGCUGGGAUAAUGCUCCACAUGAAACAAAUACUAACAGAUGGAUAGUGUGCAAUGACCAAUUAAUGUAUAUUUAUGAUCAUUACUAUAUAGACCUCUGCACAUUUCAUGUGAAUAUUAUCUGCUUCAAUUAUGCCAAUAAGUUUAUUUCAAACAACUUGAGGCAUAAUUUUUACAUGUUUGAGAGACAUAAAAAGACAAAAAUAUUGUCAGAUUAAGAGUGGAAAAUUUGAGAAUGUAAAAAAAAGAAAAGCAUUUUUUUGUGUGUUUUUUUUUAAUCAUUCAAUGUGGCUUUAUUUCUAAUUGUCCAGCUGUGUCCCACAUAGCCAACCUGAGUUCUAACCCGCUGAAGGUCCUAAUGACCACCCUGGGGAGGACACUCACUGGGCAACCACCCUGACAGCAAGUCCAGUGUCUGGACCUUACACAUGGGGAGGAUGGGCUGACCUUGGCCCUGAGCCAGCUCCAGAGGUGGCUGGGCAUUAGUAAAUAGUCUUUGAGGGUGAUGUGCCACCUGGAAGGGAGGGAGGGACAAGGCAAAAGACCUGCAGCUCCCACACUUAGCAUUCCCCAGGCCCCUCCCCAUAUAUAUAUGCACAACUGAAUCACUAUGCUGUACACCUGAAACUAAACACAACAUUGUAAAUCAACUAUAUUUCAAUUAAAAAAUUAAAAGGAGGAAUUUCCGUCAUGGCUCAUCAAUAACAAACCCAACUAGUAUCCACAAGGAGGUGGGUUUGAUCCCUGGCCUUGCUCAGUGAGUUAAGGAUCUGGCAUUGCUGUGGCUGUGGUGUAGGCUGGAGGCUGUGGCUCUAAUUUGUCCCCUAACCUGGGACCUUUCAUUUUCCAUGGGUGCAAACUGCCCCCCGCCAAAAAAAAAAAAAAAAAGGAAAAAAAAAGAAACAAAAUAACAACCAAAACUAAAAAGAAUUGGAAAUUUUGAUGAGGAAAAAGGACCACAUUAUGAAAAAUUAUAUAGAACCCGACUCUUUAGUGCUUAAAACCUAUCCCAACUACCUCUACUCAGGGCUCCACUGCUUGCUGACCUCUAGUGACAGGAAGGUUAUGCUCUUAGGAUACAGUCCCAUCCAUUUUUAGACUGCUCUGAUUAUUAGGAAAAAAUCUUUCCUUAUGUUGAACAGAAAUCAGUAUCCUGGAAGCAAACAUUCGUCGACACCGCUUCAAUCCCCAAGAUUGGGGAGAUCAUUUCUAAUUACCACUCCCAUAGUAGCCCCUUAUCAAAAUAAAAACACCUUUCAAAUAGUCCUUGAUUUUUCCCUUCUCCAGGUUAAUUAAAUCCACUUCAGUCAAGUUUAAUCACACAUCCAUAUUUGUAUUCAUAUCUGUAGGAUACCUUUAGCAGAUAAGGCCACAUAUUCAGAAUCAUAACUUGGUGAAGACAUUAAAGGAAAACAUUUUCUUUUUAUAAUUAUUUUAUGGGCCUACAAAGCACACUCACAUUCCUAAAUGUAUGAGAUAGCAUCUUGUUGGCAUGUUCCUUUAUGCAUUGGUUUCUGGGCCUCAGCUCAGAACAGCCCUCAGCUAGGUGUAAUAAAUGUUCUAUCGUCUUGCAGUGAGAAAGGUAUACAGUUAUUUCCCCCAUACUGAUAGGGUAAAUGCAUUUAGGUUUUCCCAAAUCCAUGAGAGGCUAGUUUCCCGUGUCCUUCCAACAGGAAGCUCUGAUGAUUCCAUUCACUCGUUUGUUUAAGAGAAAUCCACAUGAAUAGGACAUGUAGGUCUUUGUAGUAGGCAGAACAAUUCCCCUAAGAUGUUCACGUCUUAAUUUGUUGCAUUACACAGCAAAAGGUUUUUUUGCAGUUACGGUUUAUGUUACAAACCUUGAAAUAAGGAUUCUCCAGAUAGGACGAAUCUAAUCAAAUGAGUCUUUAAAAGUGGAAGGGAAAGGCAGAAGAAUAGCUUAGAGAGAUUCAGGGUCUAAGAAGGAACUGACCUGCCAUCAUGGGCUUUGAAGAUGGAGAAGGCACUGAGCCAAGCAAUGCGAACGGCCUGCAGAAGCUGAGAAUGACUCUUGGCUGACAGCCAGCAAGGAAACAGAGAUCUCAACCCUACUAUUGCAAGGAACUCAUUUUUAAUUAGCAAAGAAAUGGAUCUGCCCCUGGAGUCUCCAGAAAGGAAUGGAACCUUCUUGACACCUUGAUUUUAGCCCAGUGAGACCCAGGACAGAUGUCCAUCAUAUAGAAGUGUGAGUCAUUAACGUGGUAGUUUUAAAUCACUAAAUUUGUACAAACUUGCUACAUCACCAAUGGAAAACUAACACCAUCUGGAUGGUGGUAAAUUAGUACCAAUGCUCUGAGGGGGAUAUAAUUCAGUAAGGGUUGGGUUUAGCAAGAACUGCAUUACUGAAAUCAUCCAAUCAGUGCUACCCUAUACAGACAUACUAAAACCCAUUCUUCCUUGCUUCCUAAAGACAAAGGGUACAACUUCUUGUUGAAGACAAUAAAUUCAAAGUUUGGGAAUAGUCCUAAUUAUCAGAGACUUUGCAGAUGAGUUUGUAUAUUGCAAAGCAAUUUUAGUUUUAAUUUAGGGGAAAAGGGUAGAUAUAUAUAAUUCAACAUGUAGGAACAAGAAACUAACGCCUUGUGUUUCUCCAUCCUUCUAAUUUCCUUUUUUUUCCUCUUUCCCCUUCCCUUUUUCCUCACACCCAGCACCACACUAUACAAAUUUUCAAAUUUUUGGAGUAGAGACUAUAAGUACCCUUUUAAUGAAAAUGUAAUGCAUCAUUUAAUGAGAAUAUGUGUCCUCCACAAAACAACUGACUUUUCUCCUGACCUGUCCUAACAUUGAAUAAGCUAUUUCUUCCACCAAGCUAUUUCAAUCUCUUGGUAGAGUGGUGUGAUUAAUCUUUACAACUCGUUUGAAGAUAUUUGCUCUAGAGGAAGCAUAAAGUUUCUCGGAGUUAACAAAAGCCCUCAUCUCAGUGAGUCUUUAGUGGUGUUGCCUUAGGAUAGUUCCUGGCAGUUCAUUAAUUCUCUUGUCAAGAUUAUUUUAAAUAUGUUUCUGGUCCAUGAUAUAAUUCAUCAACAAAAGUAUACCCCAAUGCCAGAAUCUACCUUCCAGCUUGUUUUCUGUCUGUGUUUUUAAAAUAUAUUUCCAGGUUUUUAAUAAGUGUUAUACUCCUCUUUAGAAAGUUGGCCAUCACUCAUAACUUUCAUGACAUAGAGAUACAAAACAUCCAAGAGAAAAAGCCAUCUGCAUUUUGCAAUUCAAGGCAAUGAUACUGAUAUAUUCGAACUUGUAUUGCAUAGUAUGGAUGAGGUUAACUCUACAAAUUUGAAAUGUCAAGCAUCUUCUAUUAAUAUUAAGAAAGUAUCACCACAUUCAUUUAAUUAAACAAAUGUUUAAUGAGUAUCUUCUUAUUUCUAUGCAUUGAGUCAAAGAUAGGGCAACUGAUAAGAAAAAAAAUGGUGUUGCCCUCUUGGGAAUUAUAGUCUGGCAUUCUUAAAGAAAAAGAAUUGAUGGGAGUUCCUGUUGUGGCUCAGUGGUUAAUGAAUCUGACUAGGAACCAUGACGUAGCGGGUUCAAUCCCUGGCUUCGCUCGGUGGGUUAAGGAUCUGGUGUUGCCAUGAGCUGUGGUGUAGGUUGCAGAUGUGGCUCCAAUCCCAUGUUGCUGUGGCUCUGGCCUAAGCUGGCGGCUACAGCUCUGAUUAGACCCCUAGCCUGGGAACCUCCAUAUGCUGUAGGUGCAGCCCUAGAAAAGACCAAAAAAAAAAAAAAAAAAAAAAAAAAA